RNAcentral lists this ribosomal RNA (481 nucleotides) under Streptococcus sp. oral taxon 064. Its description in RNAcentral is "bacterial SSU rRNA". It matches the Rfam family "Bacterial small subunit ribosomal RNA", at positions 28 to 494 of the family's 1533-position model. Lineage: Bacteria; Bacillati; Bacillota; Bacilli; Lactobacillales; Streptococcaceae. The record is from RNAcentral.
GACGAACGCGGCGGCGUGCCUAAUACAUGCAAGUAGAACGCUGAAGGAGGAGCUUGCUCUUCUGGAUGAGUUGCGAACGGGUGAGUAACGCGUAGGUAACCUGCCUGGUAGCGGGGGAUAACUAUUGGAAACGAUAGCUAAUACCGCAUAAUAGUAGAUGUUGCAUGACAUUUACUUAAAAGGUGCAAUUGCAUCACUACCAGAUGGACCUGCGUUGUAUUAGCUAGUUGGUGGGGUAACGGCUCACCAAGGCGACGAUACAUAGCCGACCUGAGAGGGUGAUCGGCCACACUGGGACUGAGACACGGCCCAGACUCCUACGGGAGGCAGCAGUAGGGAAUCUUCGGCAAUGGACGGAAGUCUGACCGAGCAACGCCGCGUGAGUGAAGAAGGUUUUCGGAUCGUAAAGCUCUGUUGUAAGAGAAGAACGAGUGUGAGAGUGGAAAGUUCACACUGUGACGGUAUCUACCCAGAAAGGGAC